UUGAUUUAUUUGUUUUGCCUUGCGGCGUAUUCAGAAGAUGCUGAUAAUACAAGAGUUUGAGGGUCCCCGGCGGCCGCUGGUCCAGUCCGCGUCCGGGCUGGGGCGAGUCCGCCGAAGCAACGAUAGGUAGGUUCACAAAAGGGUUGGGGAGUUGAAAACUCGGUAAUGAUCCCUCCGCUGGUUCACCAACGGAGA
This 195-nucleotide unclassified non-coding RNA is filed under the name uncultured fungus. RNAcentral's name for it is "sequence contains ITS1". The record is from RNAcentral. Lineage: Eukaryota; Fungi.